This 253-nucleotide ribosomal RNA is filed under the name uncultured bacterium. Its description in RNAcentral is "partial 16S ribosomal RNA". It matches the Rfam family "Bacterial small subunit ribosomal RNA", at positions 524 to 776 of the family's 1533-position model. The record is from RNAcentral.
UACGUAGGUGGCAAGCGUUGUCCGGAUUUACUGGGCGUAAAGCGCCCGCAGGCGGCUUGUUAAGUUCAAGGUGAAAUCUCCCGGCUCAACUGGGAGGGUGCCUCGAAAACUGGCAGGCUUGAGGUGAGGAGAGGGAUGCGGAAUUCCAGGUGUAGCGGUGAAAUGCGUUGAUAUCUAGGGGAACACCAAAAGCGAAGGCAAGAGACUGGGGCAUUCCUGACACUGAAACAUGAAAGCGUGGGUAGCGAAUGGG